GAAGUCCGCCAGGCAGCCGCGGCACCGCGAGGUGACGAGGAAAGUCCGGGCCCCAUAGAGCAGGAUGCCGGCUAACGGCCGGGCGCAGCAAGUCGAAAGACCCAAGGCGACAGAAAGUGCAACAGAAAGAUACCGCCUAAGUCCGCAACCCGUUUGCGGGCCGGCAAGGGUGAAAUGGCGGGGUAAGAGCCCACCGCGGACCUGGUAACAGGGACGGCACGGCAAACCUCAUCCGGGGCAAGGCCAAAUAGGGGAGCAAUGGCGUGGCUCGCGCCGCUCCCGGGUAGGCUGCUCGAGCCCGUCGGCAACGACGGGCCUAGAGGAAUGGCUGCCCACGACAGAACCCGGCUUAUCGGCGGACUUCCACC
This 368-nucleotide RNase P RNA is filed under the name Rhodocyclaceae bacterium. RNAcentral describes it as "RNase P RNA component class A". It matches the Rfam family "Bacterial RNase P class A". Rfam says of the family: Ribonuclease P (RNase P) is a ubiquitous endoribonuclease, found in archaea, bacteria and eukarya as well as chloroplasts and mitochondria. Its best characterised activity is the generation of mature 5'-ends of tRNAs by cleaving the 5'-leader elements of precursor-tRNAs. Cellular RNase Ps are ribonucleoproteins. Lineage: Bacteria; Pseudomonadati; Pseudomonadota; Betaproteobacteria; Rhodocyclales; Rhodocyclaceae. The record is from RNAcentral.